RNAcentral lists this ribosomal RNA (460 nucleotides) under uncultured bacterium. Its description in RNAcentral is "partial 16S ribosomal RNA". It matches the Rfam family "Bacterial small subunit ribosomal RNA", at positions 338 to 795 of the family's 1533-position model. The record is from RNAcentral.
CCUACGGGUGGCAGCAGUGAGGAAUAUUGGUCAAUGGACGAGAGUCUGAACCAGCCAAGUAGCGUGAAGGAUGACUGCCCUAUGGGUUGUAAGCUUCUUUUAUAAAGGAAUAAAACAAGGCACGUGUGCAUUUUUGCGUGUACUUUAUGAAGAAGGCACGACUAACUCCGUGCCAGCAGCCGCGGUAAUACGGAGGAUCCGAGCGUUAUCCGGAUUUAUUGGGUUUAAAGGGAGCGUAGAUGGGUUGUUAAGUCAGUUGUGAAAGUUUGCGGCUCAACCGUAAAAUUGCAAUUGAUACUGGCAGUCUUGAGUACAGUUGAGGUAAGCGGAAUUCGUGGUGUAGCGGUGAAAUGCUUAGAUAUCACGAAGAACCCCGAUUGCGAAGGCAGCUUACUAAACUGUGACUGACAUUGAUGCUCGAAAGUGUGGGUAUCAAACAGGAUUAGAUACCCCUGUAGUC